Molecule: ribosomal RNA, 136 nt
Filed under: uncultured eukaryote
Lineage: Eukaryota
Description: partial 18S ribosomal RNA
Rfam family: Eukaryotic small subunit ribosomal RNA
Source: RNAcentral
UGGUGGAGCGAUUUGUCUGGUUUAUUCCGAUAACGAACGAGACUCUGGCCUACUAAAUAGUGGGUGGAUUCUUUUUGUCCAUGAUACUUCUUAGAGGGACAAGCGGUGUUCAGCCGCACGAGAUUGAGCAAUAACA